Molecule: ribosomal RNA, 720 nt
Filed under: Bacillus licheniformis
Lineage: Bacteria; Bacillati; Bacillota; Bacilli; Caryophanales; Bacillaceae
Description: bacterial SSU rRNA
Rfam family: Bacterial small subunit ribosomal RNA
Source: RNAcentral
GUCGAGCGGACCGACGGGAGCUUGCUCCCUUAGGUCAGCGGCGGACGGGUGAGUAACACGUGGGUAACCUGCCUGUAAGACUGGGAUAACUCCGGGAAACCGGGGCUAAUACCGGAUGCUUGAUUGAACCGCAUGGUUCAAUCAUAAAAGGUGGCUUUUAGCUACCACUUACAGAUGGACCCGCGGCGCAUUAGCUAGUUGGUGAGGUAACGGCUCACCAAGGCGACGAUGCGUAGCCGACCUGAGAGGGUGAUCGGCCACACUGGGACUGAGACACGGCCCAGACUCCUACGGGAGGCAGCAGUAGGGAAUCUUCCGCAAUGGACGAAAGUCUGACGGAACAACGCCGCGUGAGUGAUGAAGGUUUUCGGAUCGUAAAACUCUGUUGUUAGGGAAGAACAAGUACCGUUCGAAUAGGGCGGUACCUUGACGGUACCUAACCAGAAAGCCACGGCUAACUACGUGCCAGCAGCCGCGGUAAUACGUAGGUGGCAAGCGUUGUCCGGAAUUAUUGGGCGUAAAGCGCGCGCAGGCGGUUUCUUAAGUCUGAUGUGAAAGCCCCCGGCUCAACCGGGGAGGGUCAUUGGAAACUGGGGAACUUGAGUGCAGAAGAGGAGAGUGGAAUUCCACGUGUAGCGGUGAAAUGCGUAGAGAUGUGGAGGAACACCAGUGGCGAAGGCGACUCUCUGGUCUGUAACUGACGCUGAGGCGCGAAAGCGU